This is a long non-coding RNA of Danio rerio (zebrafish), 718 nucleotides long. Ensembl annotates it as linc RNA alien. Its record names the gene linc.alien. Lineage: Eukaryota; Metazoa; Chordata; Actinopteri; Cypriniformes; Danionidae. The record is from Ensembl.
CAGAAGGCAGCGGGAGAGACAACGAAUACCGUCCUACGGGCAUCAGACAAAAAUUCGAAAACAACUUUGAAUAUUGCACGAGAAGAUGGCAUCAGAACACCUCCGUGUCAUCUAAAUGGUCUGUGCUCAGUGCUGGAACACCCAAGUGGAGCUGGUCUCCCGGGAGAUCUGCGGGACACCCAUCUUACAAGCUGUAAUGCCGCUUUAACCCAUUGCUGGGGAGGGACCGUUCACACUACCCCGAUUUAAGACCAAAUACUCCUAAUCCCGCUGAUGUCCCACACUAUAUUAACGCACAACACAGACGCUUAAUCUACGCCCUAAAGUUAGAAAGGCAGUUUCACUGCAAUAUGCCGAAUAGGAUUAGGUUAGUCUUUGUAAUAGUCUUUAAGGCAUUUUAAACGCCGGGCAAUGCGAUUACAUGUAAAAGUAUUAUAUUCUCCCCCAAAACAGAUAAAAAAGUUCAUACAACAAUAACAAUUAUACUAACUAUUUAAAUCAAAAUAUAGUUGUAUGCUGGGAUUAAAUUAUUAUUAUUUGUAAUUGUAAAAAAUGUUUAAAUCAUUCACUCUUGCUUGUUUUGUUUAGUUUAAAUGUUUUUGGAAUACUUCCAUAUUUAUCUAUUGGUCAUUUUAUGACAAUGUCAGAACACAUUUUAUCGCCUAAAGAUGACCUUGAACUUGUUGUGUAUAUUUGAAGAAAUAAAAAUGUGAAAAAG